AUCCAAUUCUCUGGAAAGCAUACACUAAUACAGUCAUUUGUAUACACACACAUACACACAGAACAAAAAUGAGAAUUCACAAAAAUGAGCUUAUGUGUACACAAUCAACAGUUAAGAUUUAAGAACAUUUCCUGUUACAUACUUGCUUGCAUUUUUUCCCACAUAGUUUAACAUUAAAAAUAACACUAGGAAAAAUCUUCAGUCAAUAAUCUAAAAAUUAGCUGCAUGUGAAUUAUUAAAAUAGUGGAGAUCCACCCUUACAGAGAAAUCAUUUGGCAAGUUUUAAAACACAACAAUGAGAGCAGAACAAUAGAUUGGGUUACAUUGUGCUUCUGAACUUUACUCUCCUUGGCUGUUUCCGCCAAAAUAAACUUUGAAAAAAAUGAAAAAGCAUUUUUGCACAAAACAUCUUUCAAAAAAGCCAGAUAUAAAUCAUACCUUAAAAACUAGCUCAAUCUACCAAAAUAUCAGCAGCAAAGGAACACUGUAGUAUGUAGCUAGGAGCAAAUGAAGGAACUUUUUUUUUUUUUUCUGGAUAAUUUCAUUUUGGGUAUAUGGCAAUGGUAGAGAACCUCUGCUCUUAGCAUACUGUUAUCUAUACAGAGUGAAGAUUCUUUUAAUCUGGAAUUGAUCAUUACCUGGUAAAUAAGGAAAAAAACAUCUUCUAAAUCUGGAUAUUGAACUUCUGCAUAAUCAUGUAAAAGAACAUGGACAUAAUGAUUCAUCUACCAGACAAGUCAUCAGUCAUAGGAAGGAUAAAAAAAAAACUGCUCACUGAAAACAAAUCCUCCUCCCUUGCCACACUAUCUUUUUUCCUAUUUAAAUUUUUUAUUGAUGUUUUUUUCCUCUCCUGUCACUCUCGUCUCCCUCUUUUGUAACAAGUACAAACAAAUGAAACAAAUCAACAUGUCCCAUACCACCAUCUUAAUGAAGAAUUAGUUAUCUUUUUAACUCAUUAAAAGUAAAAUUUAAUCAGUAAUAUGAUGAUGGGGGCUGUGGUCUUAAUUUAUAUACUUUGUUGAAUCUCCAGGGGUCCUACUCAAUAAUACCUCUUUCUACUCUUUUCAAAAUCCAAGAUUACUGAUUUCUAAAAAACAAGAGAAUAUAUUUUAUUUUGUAUUUUCUUUAGCGGCAACAAUGGCCUUGAGAAGUUCAUAUGUGAUUGUCCAAAAAUGUUUAAAAUGGAACAGUCACCAAUAGUCUGGGAAUACAUCAUCUUUUGGUGCUCUACAUGAUGUUAUUAGUAGAAGUUCUCAGCAUGUCAUUCUGAAAUUAAAUAUGAUUCGUUUUUCUUUUUGGGCCUAGGGCUAGGGUGUGAGAUGAAACACUAAACAGCUUCAAGAAAAACUGGUAUUAAUAUGAAUACAGAGAUUUUUCUGAAUUUUCCAAUGCCUAACUUAAAAAUAAUUUUAAUUCUACCUUGGAGUGAGGAUUAAGGAAAAAGAAUAAGAGGUUAAGUAUUAGAUGGGCUUCAGAAAUGCAGUUCUACAUCAGGUUCAGGAUUAUCACUUCAUUCCCAUCUCUCUUCUACACUCUUUAAUGUCUUGGGGAAUUUGUGCAAAAGAGUAUAGAGGAGAAUGGAGAGUCAGCUCAGAAAUUAAACACUAUCGUUUUUUAUUUAAUGUUAGAGUAUAUUCCCCCAAAGUAUCAAUUUAUAAGUAUCAAGAAAGAGAAAUAAAUAUGCCCCAUAGACAUCAUCAAGGAAUAAGAGAUAUUCUUAAUUCAAUGCAAUCUGAGGGUCCUUUAUAAAUUAGAUUAUGCACAAUAGUCAAUGAAAUUUCCAAUUAAUUCAACAGAUUUGUGAUGGAUAUAAAAUCCUCAAGUGUUCAUCCUCCAGAGCACCCAAUCUCAAAUUAUGGAAAACCUACAUAGGUUCAUAGUUCUUAGGAUUCAAAGUUGACAAGAACCUUUGAGGUUUAUCUAGACUAAUUCUAACACUCUGUAGACGAC
Sarcophilus harrisii (Tasmanian devil) is the source of this 1950-nucleotide long non-coding RNA. NCBI's taxonomy places the organism in Eukaryota, Metazoa, Chordata, Mammalia, Dasyuromorphia, Dasyuridae. The record is from Ensembl.